RNAcentral lists this ribosomal RNA (127 nucleotides) under Enterobacter cloacae. RNAcentral's name for it is "partial 16S ribosomal RNA". It matches the Rfam family "Bacterial small subunit ribosomal RNA", at positions 1 to 118 of the family's 1533-position model. RNAcentral also lists the same sequence under 22 other names. Lineage: Bacteria; Pseudomonadati; Pseudomonadota; Gammaproteobacteria; Enterobacterales; Enterobacteriaceae. The record is from RNAcentral.
UUAAAUUGAAGAGUUUGAUCAUGGCUCAGAUUGAACGCUGGCGGCAGGCCUAACACAUGCAAGUCGAACGGUAACAGGAAGCAGCUUGCUGCUUCGCUGACGAGUGGCGGACGGGUGAGUAAUGUCU